This is a long non-coding RNA of Mycetomoellerius zeteki, 91 nucleotides long. RefSeq lists it as uncharacterized. The transcript is spliced from 3 exons. NCBI's taxonomy places the organism in Eukaryota, Metazoa, Arthropoda, Insecta, Hymenoptera, Formicidae. The record is from RefSeq and is a predicted model, not a curated record.
GGGGAUUCUUCGGUAGUGGGGGUAUGACAUCAUGCGAAGUGGCGGCAAGGCAUCACAGAUUUUGGGGACUGUAGUCACGAAUGUGUAGCGU